Macrobrachium nipponense is the source of this 516-nucleotide long non-coding RNA. RefSeq lists it as uncharacterized. Lineage: Eukaryota; Metazoa; Arthropoda; Malacostraca; Decapoda; Palaemonidae. The transcript has 3 exons. The record is from RefSeq and is a predicted model, not a curated record.
CGACCUGGCGAUGGGGUCCAAGCCCGGGGUCGUUAGUCGUUCGUCGUCGUUAUAUGGUUUGGGCACUUGAGGUUUUGUUUAGUGAUUGUGAAUUCCGAUGCUCCAAUAAAGAAUCGCGUGUAAUCGAAAUGGGUUACUAGGAUGGAGGCGAUUAUACGGUUAUGGGCGCCGUCUACAAGUGGGAAGACUGAUUAGCAACCUCCGUCUGCAGUAUUGUCAUCGAGGAAACAUGGGACACUGCAAAUAUACUCCAGAAUUGGUCGUACUUGCAUACUUGGAGCCUAUCUACAGUCUGGACUGAUUGAUGAUAGUCCCAAUCUACUGAUUACCUGGAUAUCGUCUAUGGUGAAGUAUAGAAGAUUCCAAAUCCUCUUAGAGGAAAGUUCAGUGCACUGGGUUAUAGAACAAGAUUCUGAUGGUGGCAAAAACCAGCCAGGCUUUCGAAGUCUCCUGCUAGGAACACCUGAAUUGAUAGUUUUGGAACCUGAACCUCAGUCUGGUUUAGAGGAAUCCACC